Molecule: ribosomal RNA, 1248 nt
Filed under: uncultured bacterium
Lineage: Bacteria
Description: bacterial SSU rRNA
Rfam family: Bacterial small subunit ribosomal RNA
Source: RNAcentral
GGAUUAGCUAGUUGGUGGGGUAAAGGCCUACCAAGGCGACGAUCUGUAGCUGGUCUGAGAGGAUGAUCAGCCACACCGGGACUGAGACACGGCCCGGACUCCUACGGGAGGCAGCAGUGGGGAAUAUUGGACAAUGGGGGCAACCCUGACCCAGCCAUGCCGCGUGUGUGAAGAAGGCCUUUUGGUUGUAAAGCACUUUAAGCAGUGAAGAAGACCUAACGGUUAAUACCCGUUAGCGAUGACAUUAGCUGCAGAAUAAGCACCGGCUAACUCUGUGCCAGCAGCCGCGGUAAUACAGAGGGUGCAAGCGUUAAUCGGAAUUACUGGGCGUAAAGCGAGCGUAGGUGGCUUGAUAAGUCAGAUGUGAAAUCCCCGGGCUUAACCUGGGAACUGCAUCUGAUACUGUUGGGCUAGAGUAGGUGAGAGGGAGGUAGAAUUUCAGGUGUAGCGGUGAAAUGCGUAGAGAUCUGAAGGAAUACCGAUGGCGAAGGCAGCCUCCUGGCAUCAUACUGACACUGAGGUUCGAAAGCGUGGGUAGCAAACAGGAUUAGAUACCCUGGUAGUCCACGCCGUAAACGAUGUCUACUAGUCGUUGGGGAACUUGAUUCCUUAGUGACGCAGCUAACGCAAUAAGUAGACCGCCUGGGGAGUACGGCCGCAAGGUUAAAACUCAAAUGAAUUGACGGGGGCCCGCACAAGCGGUGGAGCAUGUGGUUUAAUUCGAUGCAACGCGAAGAACCUUACCUGGUCUUGACAUAUCUAGAAUCCUGCAGAGAUGCGGGAGUGCCUUCGGGAAUUAGAAUACAGGUGCUGCAUGGCUGUCGUCAGCUCGUGUCGUGAGAUGUUGGGUUAAGUCCCGCAACGAGCGCAACCCUUUUCCUUAGUUACCAGCGGUUUGGCCGGGGACUCUAAGGAUACUGCCAGUGACAAACUGGAGGAAGGCGGGGACGACGUCAAGUCAUCAUGGCCCUUACGACCAGGGCUACACACGUGCUACAAUGGUAGGUACAGAGGGCAGCUACACAGCGAUGUGAUGCGAAUCUCAAAAAGCCUAUCGUAGUCCAGAUUGGAGUCUGCAACUCGACUCCAUGAAGUAGGAAUCGCUAGUAAUCGCGGAUCAGAAUGCCGCGGUGAAUACGUUCCCGGGCCUUGUACACACCGCCCGUCACACCAUGGGAGUUGAUUGCACCAGAAGUGGGUAGCCUAACUUUUAGAGGGCGCUCACCACGGUGUGGUUGAUGACUGGGG